This 492-nucleotide ribosomal RNA is filed under the name uncultured bacterium. RNAcentral describes it as "partial 16S ribosomal RNA". It matches the Rfam family "Bacterial small subunit ribosomal RNA", at positions 29 to 507 of the family's 1533-position model. The record is from RNAcentral.
AGUGAACGCUGGCGGUAGGCCUAACACAUGCAGGUCGAACGGCAGCACAGUAAGAGCUUGCUCUUACGGGUGGCGAGUGGCGGACGGGUGAGGAAUACAUCGGAAUCUACUUUUUCGUGGGGGAUAACGUAGGGAAACUUACGCUAAUACCGCAUACGACCUACGGGUGAAAGCAGGGGAUCUUCGGACCUUGCGCGAUUGAAUGAGCCGAUGUCGGAUUAGCUAGUUGGCGGGGUAAAGGCCCACCAAGGCGACGAUCCGUAGCUGGUCUGAGAGGAUGAUCAGCCACACUGGAACUGAGACACGGUCCAGACUCCUACGGGAGGCAGCAGUGGGGAAUAUUGGACAAUGGGCGCAAGCCUGAUCCAGCCAUACCGCGUGGGUGAAGAAGGCCUUCGGGUUGUAAAGCCCUUUUGUUGGGAAAGAAAAGCAGCAGGUUAAUACCCCGCUGUUCUGACGGUCCCCAAAGAAUAAGCACCGGCUAACUUCGUG